This 395-nucleotide ribosomal RNA is filed under the name uncultured bacterium. RNAcentral's name for it is "partial 16S ribosomal RNA". It matches the Rfam family "Bacterial small subunit ribosomal RNA", at positions 523 to 918 of the family's 1533-position model. The record is from RNAcentral.
AUACGUAGGGUGCAAGCGUUAAUCGGAAUUACUGGGCGUAAAGCGUGCGCAGGCGGUUUUGUAAGACAGUGGUGAAAUCCCCGGGCCCAACCUGGGAACUGCCAUUGUGACUGCAAGGCUGGAGUGCGGCCGAGGGGGAUGGAAUUCCGCGGGUAGCAGUGAAAUGCGUAGAUAUGCGGAGGAACACCGAUGGCGAAGGCAAUCCCCUGGGCCUGCACUGACGCUCAUGCACGAAAGCGUGGGGAGCAAACAGGAUUAGAUACCCUGGUAGUCCACGCCCUAAACGAUGUCAACUGGUUGUUGGGGAUUUAUUUUCUCAGUAACGAAGCUAACGCGUGAAGUUGACCGCCUGGGGAGUACGGCCGCAAGGUUAAAACUCAAAUGAAUUGACGGGG